Molecule: long non-coding RNA, 229 nt
Filed under: Elaeis guineensis (African oil palm)
Lineage: Eukaryota; Viridiplantae; Streptophyta; Magnoliopsida; Arecales; Arecaceae
Description: long non-coding RNA (EGUI_LNC018843)
Source: RNAcentral
GGAUUAGGGUCCAAUUUGGUUUUUGGUUAGAUUUAUAUUUAAGUUUGGGUUGGGUUUGGGUUAGGUCGGAUCCACAUUCAAAUUAGGGUUUGGAUUUGGGUUAAGUUUCAAUUAGGUUUGGGUUUGAAAUAGCAUUGAAAUUUAGGUUAGGGUUUGGGUUUGGUCGGAUAGGCAUUUUGGUUAGAGUUUGCAUUUGGAUUUGGGUUUGGGUUGGGCUUGGAUUAGAUCA